RNAcentral lists this ribosomal RNA (468 nucleotides) under uncultured bacterium. RNAcentral's name for it is "partial 16S ribosomal RNA". It matches the Rfam family "Bacterial small subunit ribosomal RNA", at positions 28 to 507 of the family's 1533-position model. The record is from RNAcentral.
GACGAACGCUGGCGGCGUGCUUAACACAUGCAAGUCGAACGGAAAGGCCCUGCUUUUGUGGGGUGCUCGAGUGGCGAACGGGUGAGUAACACGUGAGUAACCUGCCCUUGACUUUGGGAUAACUUCAGGAAACUGGGGCUAAUACCGGAUAGGAGCUCCUGCUGCAUGGUGGGGGUUGGAAAGUUUCGGCGGUUGGGGAUGGACUCGCGGCUUAUCAGCUUGUUGGUGGGGUAGUGGCUUACCAAGGCUUUGACGGGUAGCCGGCCUGAGAGGGUGACCGGCCACCAUGGGACUGAGAUACGGCCCAGACGCCUACGGGGGGCAGCAGUGGGGAAUAUUGCACAACGGGCGGAAGCCUGAUGCAGCAACGCCGCGUGCGGGAUGACGGCCUUCGGGUUGUAAACCGCUUUAGCCUGAGACGAAGCGUGAGUGACGGUAAUGGGUAAAGAAGCACCGGCUAACUACGUG